Molecule: non-coding RNA, 24 nt
Filed under: Arabidopsis thaliana (thale cress)
Lineage: Eukaryota; Viridiplantae; Streptophyta; Magnoliopsida; Brassicales; Brassicaceae
Source: RNAcentral
GGUCUGCCAAUGGAGGAUCCACUC